This 499-nucleotide ribosomal RNA is filed under the name Acinetobacter baumannii. RNAcentral describes it as "partial 23S ribosomal RNA". It matches the Rfam family "Bacterial large subunit ribosomal RNA", at positions 667 to 1164 of the family's 2925-position model. Lineage: Bacteria; Pseudomonadati; Pseudomonadota; Gammaproteobacteria; Moraxellales; Moraxellaceae. The record is from RNAcentral.
CGUAGAGAAAUCGAGUCUUAAUAGGGCGUUUAGUUGCUGGGUAUAGACCCGAAACCAGGCGAUCUAUCCAUGAGCAGGUUGAAGGUUGGGUAACACUAACUGGAGGACCGAACCCACUGUCGUUGAAAAGCCAGGGGAUGACUUGUGGAUAGGGGUGAAAGGCUAAUCAAGCCUGGUGAUAGCUGGUUCUCCCCGAAAGCUAUUUAGGUAGCGCCUCGGACGAAUACCAUAGGGGGUAGAGCACUGUUUCGGCUAGGGGGUCAUCCCGACUUACCAAACCGAUGCAAACUCCGAAUACCUAUGAGUACUAUCCGGGAGACAGACUGCGGGUGCUAACGUCCGUAGUCAAGAGGAAAACAAUCCAGACCGCCAGCUAAGGCCCCAAAAUCAUAGUUAAGUGGGAAACGAUGUGGGAAGGCAUAGACAGCUAGGAGGUUGGCUUAGAAGCAGCCACCCUUUAAAGAAAGCGUAAUAGCUCACUAGUCGAGUCGGCCUGCGC